UUUAGGUUGGGGCGACCGCGGAGUACAAUAAAACCUCCACAAUGAAUGGGAACACCCCCUUAUCUGAGGGCCACACCCCCUAAGAAUUAGAACACUAACAUAAAAUGAUCCAUUACUUGAUCAAUGAACCAAGUUACCCUGGGGAUAACAGCGNAAUCCAUUUCAAGAGCCCCUAUCGACAAAUGGGUUUACNACCUCGAUGUUGGAUCAGGGUACCCCNGUGGUGCAGCAGCUACUAACGGNUCGUUUGUUCAACGAUUAAAACCCU
Molecule: ribosomal RNA, 268 nt
Filed under: Mantidactylus melanopleura
Lineage: Eukaryota; Metazoa; Chordata; Amphibia; Anura; Mantellidae
Description: partial 16S ribosomal RNA
Rfam family: Bacterial large subunit ribosomal RNA
Source: RNAcentral